This is a long non-coding RNA of Synchiropus splendidus (mandarinfish), 481 nucleotides long. RefSeq lists it as uncharacterized. The record is from RefSeq and is a predicted model, not a curated record. Lineage: Eukaryota; Metazoa; Chordata; Actinopteri; Syngnathiformes; Callionymidae. The transcript is spliced from 3 exons.
CUGAAGGCUUAACAGCCAGUUCAGAGGAGGCUCCUGGACAAUUGUACACCCUGAGAAAACAAUAAAAGCAAAAGUGAGAGCAGAUUUUACACUUGCUCAGACGGUUGACGGCAGCAGCAGCAGAAAAAGUAGCCAACAACUUUCUGACAGCUGGUGUCCAGAAAGCCAGUUUAAGUUGCCCCGAGCAUCGACAGUAGAGAAGUGACUGAAGAUGGCGAGUCCUACAAGGCCACUGGAGAAGCAACAGGCGAUGAACACAACUGUUCCUGUUCCGAUGGUCACCACGGCAGAGCAUGAAUAGCACCGGACGCACCUAAAACUCAGAGCUACAGCAGUCAAGCAACCACAAACAGUCUCGGUUCAAUUUAUGCUUUCUUUAUUUCUUUAUGUUUUCACAGAGGGUAGCAAGGUAAAAACAAGUAAAAUAAAAUAAAUGUAAUAAAAUAUACCUGUAUUCAACAUGAUUUUAUAUAAACAUAUU